UACGUAGGGUGCGAGCGUUGUCCGGAAUUAUUGGGCGUAAAGAGCUUGUAGGCGGUUUGUCGCGUCUGCCGUGAAAAUCCGGGGCUCAACCCCGGACCUGCGGUGGGUACGGGCAGACUAGAGUGUGGUAGGGGAGACUGGAAUUCCUGGUGUAGCGGUGAAAUGCGCAGAUAUCGGGAAGAACACCCGUGGCGAAGGCGGCACUCUGGGACGGUACUGACGCUGAGACGCGAAAGCGUGGGGAGCGAACAGG
This 253-nucleotide ribosomal RNA is filed under the name uncultured bacterium. Its description in RNAcentral is "partial 16S ribosomal RNA". It matches the Rfam family "Bacterial small subunit ribosomal RNA", at positions 524 to 776 of the family's 1533-position model. The record is from RNAcentral.